Molecule: ribosomal RNA, 1242 nt
Filed under: metagenome
Description: bacterial LSU rRNA
Rfam family: Bacterial large subunit ribosomal RNA
Source: RNAcentral
UGAGUACGAGAUGCUACGGCGUCGAAGCAGUCUAGGUCAUACUUCCAAGAAAAGCUUGCACUGUCAUAAACAAAGAAUGCCUGUACCAUAACCGACACAGGUGGGUAGGUAGAGUAUACUAAGGGACGCGAGAUAACUCUCUCUAAGGAACUCGGCAAAAUGACUCCGUAACUUCGGGAGAAGGAGUGCCUUAUUUUUAAGGUUGCAAUAACAAGAUCCAAGCAACUGUUUACCAAAAACACAGGUCUCCGCUAAGUCGUAAGACGAUGUAUGGGGGCUGACGCCUGCCCAGUGCCAGAAGGUUAAAGAAGUUGGUUAGCAUUCGCGAAGCUGAUAACUGAAGCCCUGGUGAACGGCGGCCGUAACUAUAACGGUCCUAAGGUAGCGAAAUUCCUUGUCGGGUAAGUUCCGACCCGCACGAAAGGCGUAAUGAUUUGGAUACUGUCUCGGAGAGGGGCUCGGUGAAAUAGACUUGUCUGUGAAGAUGCGGACUACCUGCACCUGGACAGAAAGACCCUAUGAAGCUUUACUGUAACUUGAGAUUGAAAUUGGACUUUAUUUGCGCAGUAUAGGUGGGAGGCGUUGAGAAUAAUCUUGCGGGAUUAUCGGAGCCAUCAGUGAGAUACCACUCUUGUAAUGUUAGAUUUCUAACUUUGUAUCAUUAUCUGGUCAAAGAACAGUUUCAGGCGGGCAGUUUGACUGGGGCGGUCGCCUCCCAAAGGGUAACGGAGGCGCACAAAGGUUUCCUCUGAACGGGUAGAAAUCGUAUCUAGAGUGUAAAGGCAUAAGGAAGCUUGACUGUGAGACCUACAAGUCGAGCAGGGACGAAAGUCGGUCUUAGUGAUCUGACGGUGCUGAGUGGAAAGGCCGUCACUCAACGGAUAAAAGUUACUCUAAGGAUAACAGGCUGAUCUCCCCCAAGAGUUCACAUCGACGGGAGGUUUGGCACCUCGAUGUCGGCUCAUCGCAUCCUGGGGCGGUAGUACGUCCCAAGGGUUGGGCUGUUCGCCCAUGAAAGCGGUACGCGAGCUGGGUUCAGAACGUCGUGAGACAGUUCGGUCCAUAUCCGGUGUAGGCGUUAGAAUAUUGAAAGGAGCCUUCUCUAGUACGAGAGGACCGAGAAGGACAUACCUCUGGUGUGCCAGUUAUCGUGCCAACGGUAAACGCUGGGUAGCUAUGUAUGGAGUGGAUAACCGCUGAAAGCAUCUAAGUGGGAAGCCCACCUUAAGAUAAGUAUUCUCA